Molecule: ribosomal RNA, 461 nt
Filed under: uncultured bacterium
Lineage: Bacteria
Description: bacterial SSU rRNA
Rfam family: Bacterial small subunit ribosomal RNA
Source: RNAcentral
AUUGAACGCUGGCGGCAUGCUUUACACAUGCAAGUCGAACGGUAACAGGCCUUCGGGUGCUGACGAGUGGCGAACGGGUGAGUAAUGCAUCGGAACGUGCCCAAUCGUGGGGGAUAACGUAGCGAAAGUUACGCUAAUACCGCAUAAGCCCUGAGGGGGAAAGUGGGGGACCGCAAGGCCUCACGCGAAUGGAGCGGCCGAUGUCAGAUUAGCUAGUUGGUGGGGUAAAGGCCCACCAAGGCGACGAUCUGUAGCGGGUCUGAGAGGAUGAUCCGCCACACUGGGACUGAGACACGGCCCAGACUCCUACGGGAGGCAGCAGUGGGGAAUUUUGGACAAUGGGCGCAAGCCUGAUCCAGCCAUGCCGCGUGCGGGACGAAGGCCUCGGUUGUAACCGUACGUUCUAGCCGGAAGAAAGUACGCCGUUUUAAUUACUAGACGGUGGAGUGACGGUACCGGAA